This 505-nucleotide ribosomal RNA is filed under the name uncultured bacterium. Its description in RNAcentral is "partial 16S ribosomal RNA". It matches the Rfam family "Bacterial small subunit ribosomal RNA", at positions 28 to 507 of the family's 1533-position model. The record is from RNAcentral.
GACGAACGCUGGCGGCGUGCCUAAUACAUGCAAGUAGAACGCACAGUUUAUACCGUAGCUUGCUACACCAUAAACUGUGAGUUGCGAACGGGUGAGUAACGCGUAGGUAACCUGCCUGGUAGCGGGGGAUAACUAUUGGAAACGAUAGCUAAUACCGCAUAAUAUUGAUUAUUGCACGAUAAUUGAUUGAAAGAUGCUAUUGCAUCACUACCAGAUGGACCUGCGUUGUAUUAGCUAGUAGGUGAGGUAACGGCUCACCUAGGCGACGAUACAUAGCCGACCUGAGAGGGUGAUCGGCCACACUGGGACUGAGACACGGCCCAGACUCCUACGGGAGGCAGCAGUAGGGAAUCUUCGGCAAUGGACGAAAGUCUGACCGAGCAACGCCGCGUGAGUGAAGAAGGUUUUCGGAUCGUAAAGCUCUGUUGUAAGAGAAGAACGGGUGUGGGAGUGGAAAGUUCACACUGUGACGGUAUCUUACCAGAAAGGGACGGCUAACUACGUG